GUUUGACUAUGAUGUGCCUUGGUAUACUUCUCUUUGCGUUUAUUCUGUUUGGAAUUAGUUGAGCUUCCAGGAUCUAUGGGUUGCUGUUUGUGGUCAAAUUUGGCAAAAUUUCAGCUAAGAUUCUCUCAAAUCUUCUUUCUGCCUUAGUCUCCCCUCUCUUUCUCUCCCCCUCCUUUUUCUUCUGGAACUCCAGCUGGACGUAUGUUAGGUUUCUUGAUACUACACUGUAAGUCACUGAGCUUCUAUUCCUUUUCUUUUUGGUCUUUUUUUCUGUGCUUUGGUAUGAAUUAAUUCUCUUGACUUUUGUCAUGCUCCCUGCUCCUGUCUUCUUUUUUCAUCUAUGUCCUGUUAAUUCCAUCAGUUAGUUUUUUAUUUCAUAUUAUAUUUUCUAGUUCUAGAUUUUCCAUUUGGUGCCAAGUAGUAUUCCACUGUAUAUAUACACCACAUCUUCUUUAUCAAUUCAUCUCCUGAUGGACAUUUAGGUCACAUCCAUGCCUGGGCUAUUAUAAAUAGUGCUUCAUGAACACUGAGACGCAAGUAGUUUUUUGAUUAUAGUUUUGUUUGGAUAUAUAUCCAGAAGUUGGAUUGUUGGAUCAUAUGGCAACUCUACUUUUGGUUUUUUGAGAAAUCUCCAUACUGUUUUUCACAGUGGCUACACCAAUUUGUAUUCCCACCCACAGGGUAGAGGAUUCCAUUUUCCCUAUACCCUCUUCAGCAUUUUUUAUUUGUGGAUUUUUUAAUGUUAGCCAUUCUGACCAGUGUGAGGUGGUACCUCACUGUACCACCUAAUUUCUCUAAUAUACCACCUAAUUUCUCUAAUAAUUAGUGAUGUUGAGUAUCUUUUCAUGUGCCUACUGGCCAUCUGUAUGUCUUUUUCGGAGAAAUGUUUAUUGAGGUCUUCUGCCCAUUUUUUGAUGGUUGUUUGGUUUUUGUUAUUGAGUUGUAUGAGUUGUUUGUAUAUUUUAGAAAUUAAUCCCUUGUUGGUCACACUGUUUACAGGUAUUUUAUCCCAGUGUGUACAUUGUCUGUUACGUGUGUGUGUAUAUAUAUAUAUAUACACACACACACACAUAUAGUUUUCUUUUUAUGACUGCAUCUGUGGCAUAUGAAAGUCCCUGGGCUUGGGGUCCAAUUGGAGCUGCAGCUGCUGGCCUAGGCCACAGCCAUAGUAACACCAGAUUUGAGCUGCAUCUGGGACCUAAGCCACUGGGCCUUAACCCACUGAGCGAUGCCAGGGAUUGAACCCACAUCCUCAUGUACAACAUGUUGGGUUCUUAACCUGCUGAGCCACAGAGGAACCCAUAUGUGCGUGUGUAUAUGAUAUAUUUAUUAUAUAUGUAUAUAUAUAUGCACAUAUAUAUUAAAGUAUAGUUGAUUUACAAUGUUGUGCCAAUUUCUGCUGUACAGACUUUUUUCUUUUUUGGCCCCUCCCAUGGCAUGCGGAAGUUCCUGGGCCAGGCAUCAAAUCCAUGCCACAGAAGGGACCUGAUCUGCAGUGGCAACACUGGAUUCCUAACCUGCUGAGUCACAAGAGAACUCCUAUCUUUUCAUUUUGUUGAUGGUUUCCCUUGCUGUGCAAAAGCUUGUAAACUGAUUAGGUCCCAUUUGUUUAUUUUUGCUUUUAUUUCCAUUGCCUUGGGAGGCUGACCUGAGAAAACAUGGUACGAUUUAUGUUGGGCUCCCUCCUAGGAGAUUUACUGCGUCGUAGCUUAUACUGAAGCCAUCCAAAUGGUCCUCUGCCCUUGCAGGUCCCUCCUUCUGAAAUUCCUGUUCCAAAUAACCGCGCGGCUCCUUCCCUCACCUNUCUCUUCCUCGGUUUCACGCCCAGCAUCGAGGACAUGGCUUUACAUAUAGUGAGGGUUUACUGGAUAUGUUUUCCUGAGUAAGUACUAGUUUUCAUUACUCAUGUAUAAAGUAUAAGCUUCUUCAAAGGCAGAGGACGUCUUUUACUCAGCUGUAUCACUAGCACCUCCUAUGGAGGCUAAAACACAGUGGGGACAUAACUACCUACUGAAUUAAUAUCACCAGAUAUUAGACAGCCCUUAAAUACCAAGUGGCCUUCAGAUGCCUUCAUUAGUGGCAUUUAUUACAGAUGUUUUGUGAAGGUAUAUUCCCGAUUUAUAUACUCUUAUCUUUCACUACUAUGGUCGUUUAUCCUUCUAACCAACAUGUAUUCUAAUACAGUGGAAGAAACUGGAAAAUGUGGGCACUAAGGCACUAACAGUGUAAUAAAAUAGUAAUGACACAGCUAAUUUAGGGCAUGGAAAAACAAGCUGGAGACAAAAGAUUCAACAGUAAAGAUAAAAAUGAAGGGAGUAAGCAGAUUAAAGCAGAAAUUUCUAAGUAUCUUGAAUUCUAAGAAGAGAGAUGUUUUACUUUAGACUUUAAGGAACUUGCAUUUAAAAAUGCAAGGAAAGGCGUUCCCGUUGUGGCUCCGUGGUUAACGAAUCUGACUAGGAACCAUGAGGUUGCAGGUUUGAUCCCUGGCCUUGCUCAGUGGGUUAAGGAUCCGGCGUUGCUGUGAGCUGUGGUGUAGGUUGCAGAUGCGGCUAGGACCCCANNNNNNNNNNNNNNNNNNNNNNNNNNNNNNNNNNNNNNNNNNNNNNNNNNNNNNNNNNNNNNNNNNNNNNNNNNNNNNNNNNNNNNNNNNNNNNNNNNNNAAAAAAAAAAAAAAAAAAAAAAAAAAAAAGCAAGGAAAAUCAUUAAAAUAACAGAAAUAAGCUGUGUGAAUUCCAAACCAUGGGAGGAAGAGAAAAGAGGGAAAUGAGAUGAAUCCAAUGGAAAGGUGGGGGGAGAACAUUAGAUAAAAGAAGAGGGCAACCAUAUACCCAAAUGUCAGCAAUCACGAUCAAUAAUUACAGGGGUCUGGAGGAAACUCGAGAUAAGCUGGUCAAGGAAGGUUCUUCUGAGGUACUGACAUUUUAUAAUAACAGCAGUCACUGCUACAGAGCCUAAUUACACGCCCGGCACUGAGUGCUUCACACCCAGUGAUUCAUUUCAUCCUCACAACAACCUCAUAGAUAUUAACACUCCAUUCAGUUUCUUCAGCUGAAGAAAGUGGGUUACAGAGAAGUAACGUGCUGCAGGCGAUGGAGCCAGAAGGCAUUAGAGCCAGGAUUUGAAUCGAGAAUCCAUGCUAUUAACUGGCUGGCCCUACUCCUGGAAGACACUGGCUGACACCAGGAGGAUGCGAAGGAGCCAGAGGUGUGGAUGGGGCUGAGGGAGAGUGAGAUGUUGCUGGCAGUGGGAAAAGCAAGUCCUGAAGUGGGAAAAACUCGGCCCCUUCAAAGAAGAGUAGCGAGGUCACCGUGGCUGAAGGGCAGUGAACGUGGACAGUGUGGUAGGAGAAUGAAUUUGGGAGGCAGUGCAGGCCUUAUCAAGGUCUUGAUUGCUUACUAUGUGUCAGAGGCUGGGCUUACCUUAUAAAAUUUCUUAAUGCAACAGUCCUGUGAUAGGCAGCAUCUUCCUCCCCAUUGUGUAGAUGUGGACAUUGAGGCUGAACAGACUAAGCACAUUUGCCUCGGAUACACGGCUAUCAGGCAGAGAACCAGAAUUCAAACCAGGUGGGUCUGACUCCAAAAACCAGUCUUGCAGCCAUAGCCACACAUGACAUCAUGUUAAGUUAAAUAUAAUCUACUCAAGAAUAGGAGUUCCCGCUGUGGCUCGGUGGUUAACGAAUCCGACUAGGAACCAUGAGGUUGUGGGUUUGAUCCCUGCCCUUGCUCAGUGGGUUAAGGAUCUGGCGUUGCUGUGAGCUGUGGUGUAGGUUGCAGAUGCGGGUCGGAUCCCGCAUUGCUGUGGCUCUGGUGUAGGCUGGUGGCUACAGCUCCGAUUGGACCCCUAGCCUGGGAACCCCCAUAUGCCACGGGAGCGGCCCAAAAAAUAACAAAAAGACCAAAAAAAAAAAAAAAGGAUACCCUCUACCUUCCUAGAAAAGCACCUGCUAUGAGCAUACAGGUUUCUGAGAGAUUUGGUUGAGGAACGCAACUGGGAAAGAAAUGUGUGGGACCUCAGAUCAGGACCACGUUGUCUCUGGGCUUGGUUUUGAGCAGUGAAGCCAAGGUUUCUUAUUUGUUUCUUGUCUAGCAAUUUUUUUUAGGGCCACACCUGUGGCAUAUGGAGGUUCCCAGGCUAGGGGGUCCAAUGGGAGCCAUGGCAACGCAGGAUCUGAGCCAUGUCUGUAAUCUGCACUACAGCUCAUGGCAACGCCAGAUCCUUAAGCCAUGGAUGGAGGCCAGGGAUCGAACCCAAAACCUCAUGGUUCCUAGUCCAAUGUGUUUCCACUGUGUCACGACAGGAACUCCCUAUUUCUUGACUAGCCUUUGGUUUUGUUUGUUUUGUUUUUGGCCACAUCCACGGCAUAUGGAAGUUUCCAGGCCAGGGACUGAACCCGAGCUGGCAGGUUCCUUAGCAAUGCCAGUGACAACGCCAGACCCUUAACCUGCUGUGCCACAAGCGAACUCCUAGCUUUUGGUUCUGAAACAAAAUGUGUUUCAGACACAAAUAUCCAUGUGUUAGCUUUCAUUUAUUGCUGCUGAAGAACGUUUCUUUCAGGGCCUCAGGUGAGCCCAGGUAUCCAUGUAAGCUUGUAUGUUCUAUCACUACGUCAGGCAGCUAAGUGUCGUCUGAUGACCUUGGGUCCUGGGACGCUGAAGAGCCAAAUGUAACAAAUAGAGAAAGAGGUGGUUCCCAGGUAAUUAAUCAUGACCCAUGCCCCAGGGAUGCAGAGGGGAGGAAAGAGGACAGCAGAAUCAUCUUGUUCUGGAAAAGCUUAUUCUUGGAGGAGCUGAGCCUGGGGUAAGACACAGGGAAGAAGGUCUGCUUCUGCGCAUGGUGUUUUUCCAGGGGUUUUUGUCUUGACUUCUUCCCUCUUUCCCUUUCUCUCUGCUUAGACAAAGAUCAGCAGAAACACUGAUAGAUAAUCAGCUAGGCAUGACUGGAAACAGGUGACAUCAGGGUCCUUGGACGUGCUUGAUAAGGCGCAAACUACAGUGGCCUCUUCAGGGAGGAGGCAGGCCCUGAUCUGUCCCAAUCUUCAGGUCACAGGGUCCAAGUGUGGUCCGGAAUGCCAGCUCCAGCUUCCCUGCUUUACUUUGAACAUGAGUAGACACACACGCCCGCUGAAAAAUACCUUAUUUGCACACGCUGGACCACGUGUAGACAAGUCAGAUGGCUUUGUCACUUCAGAGCCUUCACUGCGGUCACGUACAGAGAGUCUCCGAAACAGAGCAAGAGGGUAUGGGAUGUUUUCCAAGUGACUGGAUCACAGAACCAAAGGCUGCUGUGUCAUACAGCGGACGUCAGGCCAUUAAAAGCUACGCACACACCUUCACAGGUCCCAGGGUCCCCAGAGAAUGAAAGCUCUUAACUCCUUAACAGAACACACAAGAGCGCUUCACACCUGGCCCCUUCUGCCUUGUAAACCCCACCACUCCUUCUUCCUAUCAGCUCCACUCCGAUGCUUCCAGAGGGUCAGGGGCCAGAUGCACAGGGUGCUCUCUCUGCUGAAAUCCCGUCCUCCUCCCCUUCCAGUCCACCUUUCCCAAGUCCUUCCAGACCUUGUGCGCGUAACGCCUCGCUGAAGGCGUCUCUCGUCGUUCUCACUCAUGUAGCUGUGCCCUCCUCUGUCCGUUCACAGCACUUUGGUUUUGUCUGUAGUGCAGCACUUUUCUCAGUGGAUCUCAAUUAGCUAUUGACUGACGGACUGAUUUCCUUCUAAUCUGGGCUCCUGAAGGCCAGGAACGUAUCCCUGACAUCCCCAGUGAGAGGCAUCCUGCAGGCACUCAGCAAGAGCCUACAUCUUCGCUCUCUUCUGCUGGGGCCUCCAUACUCCUCAACAAAGCUUUUCUGGACCCACAAGAGGGAAGAUCAGAGUUACGCUUUUUUUUCUAGCACAAUUAACAAGAGGGAUACUUGUGUGUUUAUGCCCACCGGACCUCCCAAGGACAGCAAUCAUAGAAGCCUCUGCGUAUUGCACGGCCCCCACACAAAGCUAAGUCCUCAUGCGCAGAUAUCAAUUCAAUCCUCCUUUUUGCAGUCAGGUAUAGUCAUGAGCCACCCUCAGACGUAGCCAUAAUAAAGCCUAUUUUUCUAACAGCUCAAAGUAUUGGAAAAUACGGUUCCUCCAAUUUUGAUAAAGUCCCUGUAGAUUUGGGAGCAGAAAACAUUUUAUUCGUGUCUACUCAUAACAGGGAAUUCCAAUAAGACUCAAGGUUAUUCAAAGACCAAAACUAAUGGUUCUAAGCCAUGAUUCUUCUACUCACAGUGAGUUUUGUGCUUCUCAGAUCCUCCAGACUAAUGUUUUUCAAAAAAUACAUUUAAUAGAACUUUGGUCUGACUUUAGAAAUAAGCUUCCAGAGCAGGACAUAGGUCCUUCAAGGAAUCCUACAUUUCCACAUGAAGUAGGAAUAAGAUACAGCAUUCACUGACUGAAACACGGAACCACAAGUAAGACCACAGCGAGAAGCAAAGAAAUCCCCUUCCUCUUCUUUGCCUCACACCAAAAGGGCUCUGAGCCAUCAACUACUCUUUUUCUUUUCUUUUCUUUUGCGU
RNAcentral lists this long non-coding RNA (6552 nucleotides) under Sus scrofa (pig). RNAcentral's name for it is "lncRNA (ENSSSCG00045036480.1)". The record is from RNAcentral. Lineage: Eukaryota; Metazoa; Chordata; Mammalia; Artiodactyla; Suidae.